GUCCCACCAGAGAGUUGCCAAGCUCCGCGAUCCUAGAAGGGACGCGGGGAGAGGGACACUUAGCUUGGCGUCCGCGAGUCGGCCAGAGGACGCCUCCGAGACUGAGGGGGGAUCUCCGGUCAAGCCAGGGAACCCGAGUGGGGAGCCCAGCCCCGUGGCUGCCGCGGUGGAGGAGGCGCGGCGGAGUGUCGAAGACGACGGCAGUUCAGCCUGACAGCCUGGAUCCUACCCUUGUCAAAGAAAGGCCAUGGAAACGAUGUUCCCGACAGCCAAGAGGAAGCCAGUUUUUCAGGAGUUGCUAUCAUUUGAGGAUGUGGCGAUGUACUUCACCAGAGAGGAGUGGGGCCACCUUGACUGGGCUCAAAAGGACCUCUACAGAGAUGUGAUGCUGGAGAACUACAGCAACAUGAUCUUGUUGGACGGUGUGACUCCAUUUCAUAGCAAUAUUGUGUUAAACCUGGCUGCGUGCCUGUGUUCCAACCAAUAGAACGAGACUAGGUCAGAAAUUCCCAGGAGAUCUUGGAAGCCAUAUAUUGAAGAUGGCAGGGCGGCGCCUGUGGCUCUCAGGGUGUAGGGCACUGGCCCCAUAUGCCGGACGUGGCAGGUUCAAACCCAGCCCCUGCCAAAAACUGCAAAAAAAAAGAAGCUGGCAGAGGUGCCGUCAGAUGUCCUCCUUGGAGGAGAGCCACUCUCAGUCAUGGACAUUUGCAUCAAACUGUUACAUGGAUGAAAACUAAAUUUGUAUUCUGUUUAAGCAACCACACCUUUAGAGUCUGUCAGAGCUAUUAUCUUUAAGCUAACUUACUACAUGUUUUGUUUAAGAAAUGUUCCAUUAAUCUGUCUAAGUGUGGAAUCUCAUGCCUACAGUCUCACCAGUUUGGGAGGCUUGUGUGAGAGGACUGCUUGAGGACGGGAGCUGAAGAUGAGCCUGAGCAACAUACUGAGAUCCUAUCACUACAACAAAUACAAAAAAUUAGGUACAGUAGGGUGGCGCCUAUGGCUCAAAGGGCUGGGGUGCCGGCCCCAUAUGCCGGAGGUGGUGGGUUCAAACCCAGCCCUGCCCAAAAACUAUAAAAAAAAAAUUAGGUAUUGUGGCCAUGGCAGUAGUAUUAGCUAUUUGGGAGGCUGAGCCAGGAUGAUUGCUUGAACCUGGGAUUUGUAAGUGCAGCGAGCUAUGUACUCCUGCCUGGGUGACAAUGAGACCCUGUCUCACAAAAAUUAUUUUUAUUAAUCUGAGGCCAGAACAAUAUCUCUUAGGGUUUCUUCCAAAGGAUCAGAACCAUUUUUAUUUAUUUAUUUACUUAUUUUUGAGACAGAGCCUCAAGCUGUCCCCCUGGGUAGAGUGCUGUGGCAUCACAGCUCACAGCAACCUCCAAUUCCUGGGCUCAAGCGAGUCUCCUGCCUCUGCCUCCCAAGUAGCUGGGACCACAGGCGCCUACCACAAUGCCCGGCUAUUUCUGUUGCAGCCGUCAUUGUUGUUUGGCAGGCCCGGGUUGGAUUUGACGCGCCAGCUCCGGUGCAUGAGGCUGACGCCUUAGCUGCUUGAGCCACAGGCCCCCAGCCAAUCAAAAGCAUUUUAGUAAAGAACUGAAUGAAUUGGCAGCACCUGUGGCUCAGUGGGUAGAGUGCCAGCCCCAUAUGCCGAGGUGGCGGGUUCAAACCCGACCCCACUCAAAAUGCAACAACAACAACAAAAAUAGCUGGGCAUUGUGGCAGGCACCUGUUGUCCUAGCUACUCGGGAGGCUGAGGCAAGAAGAUGGCCUAAGCCCAGGA
RNA transcript from Nycticebus coucang (slow loris), 1774 nucleotides. It is a transcript of the gene named zinc finger protein 789, with no coding region annotated. The transcript has 5 exons. The record is from RefSeq and is a predicted model, not a curated record. NCBI's taxonomy places the organism in Eukaryota, Metazoa, Chordata, Mammalia, Primates, Lorisidae.